This is a non-coding RNA of Schizosaccharomyces pombe (fission yeast), 542 nucleotides long. Lineage: Eukaryota; Fungi; Ascomycota; Schizosaccharomycetes; Schizosaccharomycetales; Schizosaccharomycetaceae. The record is from the annotation of a GenBank genome assembly.
CACUGCUAUCCAAUCCCGGGCUCUUAGAUAUGCGAUUUUCUUCAACUGAUAAGCCAUGAGAGUUAUCCUCUGUCUUGACAAUGUUUAUGUCAGAUGAUUUCUCAGGUUCUUUCGACGCUGCGAACUCAAGUAAAGUUUGUUGCUUUCGAUUUGUUGUAGAUGGUUUGGAUUCGCUGCUAGCUUCUUUUUUAACAGCAGUACUUGAGGAGGAUCCGGCAAUAGCCCUGGGUUUCCUAGUACCAGUGGAUUUACCUCGAGGCUUCUUUUUCGUUCGAUUUACAAAAUCUCUAGAGGAUUGCUCUUCUUCUAACAUUUCUCUCUGAAUAUCAUCCAUAACCUUAUUCCAAGCAUGCUCAAAUGCAUCCAAAUCAUGAAGCCACAAUUCUUUAGGAGUUUUUUUAAUCAAAGCAUCCAGUUCGGCCAUUACUUCGUCCUUUUUCUUGAGAAGUUCCACAUACCGUUCAUAGGUCAAAGACCAUAAAGGCAUUGAAAGAAGGUAAUUGUAGGCAUCUGAAUCCUCGUCUUGCGAAACAUCACCAGAU